UAAAUAGAGGCGCAAAUAAAUGGGUAAUUUUUAAAUGAAAAGGAGAGGAACCUCCAAAGUUAAAAAUGAAGGGUUUAUUUGCCGAAAGAUAUCACAGGUUCUUAUGUGAUACCUUGGGAAUGAAGUUCAAAACUUCAUUCUUGCCAUGAUUAACGGACAUGGAGCGCUAUUU
This 172-nucleotide non-coding RNA is filed under the name Clostridium amazonitimonense. RNAcentral describes it as "Lysine riboswitch". It matches the Rfam family "Lysine riboswitch aptamer". Rfam says of the family: Riboswitches are metabolite binding domains within certain messenger RNAs that serve as precision sensors for their corresponding targets. Allosteric rearrangement of mRNA structure is mediated by ligand binding, and this results in modulation of gene expression. This family includes riboswitches that sense lysine in a number of genes involved in lysine metabolism, including lysC. Lineage: Bacteria; Bacillati; Bacillota; Clostridia; Eubacteriales; Clostridiaceae. The record is from RNAcentral.